GCUUACGGCCACAACUCUGGUUCACGCCCGAUCUUGUUUGAUCUCGGAAGCUAAGAUAGGUUGGGCCUGGUUAGUACUUGGAUGGGAGACCGCCUAGGAAUACCAGGCACUGUAAGCC
This 118-nucleotide ribosomal RNA is filed under the name Scophthalmus maximus (turbot). Lineage: Eukaryota; Metazoa; Chordata; Actinopteri; Pleuronectiformes; Scophthalmidae. The record is from RNAcentral.